RNAcentral lists this ribosomal RNA (293 nucleotides) under uncultured bacterium. RNAcentral describes it as "partial 16S ribosomal RNA". It matches the Rfam family "Bacterial small subunit ribosomal RNA", at positions 775 to 1067 of the family's 1533-position model. The record is from RNAcentral.
GGAUUAGAUACCCUGGUAGUCCACGCCGUAAACGAUGUCUACUUGGAGGUUGUUCCCUUGAGGAGUGGCUUUCGGAGCUAACGCGAUAAAUAGACCGCCUGGGGAGUACGGCCGCAAGGUUAAAACUCAAAUGAAUUGACGGGGGCCCGCACAAGCGGUGGAGCAUGUGGUUUAAUUCGAUGCAACGCGAAGAACCUUACCAUCCCUUGACAUCCUGAGAAGUUAGCAGAGAUGCUUUCGUGCCUUCGGGAACUCAGUGACAGGUGCUGCAUGGCUGUCGUCAGCUCGUGCCG